UCUCACAAAGCUUAGUGUCUUCAAAUCCAGAUGUCUUCCACAAUUCCACAGUUCCAUGGUUAUGCUAGAAUUUUCUAGAGGGUCUCAUCCACAAUUCCACCUCGAGCCACGAGAAAAACCCCAAAAAGCAAACGUCUCCCUUGCCUCUCACAUCAAUGUCAGAGCAGUUGGAAAGGAAAAUGAACUUAGUGGGAAAAGCAAACGUCUCCCUUGCCUCUUUUCCAUAGUUCUCUUAUACACUUUCUCUCUUUCUUCGCUUAAACGUUGCCCUUUCUCACUAUCUCACUUUGCUUCUUCUCCUUCGCCACAAAGAUCUUCUCCUUCUUCUUCGACGUGAAUGUCUGCUACCUCGCGAGCGUGUCCGUGGCUGAACAACAUCGAUUCUGGAAAGGAUUUUCCCAUCUCCACUUUUUAUUUAUAUUUAUUUAUUAUGAGACACCGAUGAGGGUUUCUUCGCACUUGCUUUGUCUGUGUCUUUCUUCUCUGUGAUUCUACUCCUUCACUGCGACUUUAUUUUGCGCUAUUUUCAUCUCGAACUUCUAUGGUUGAACUCGAUUUUUAGUAACAUGGCUAUUGAUAUUGGUUGUGAUGUAUGUAAUGUUCUUGAAAAAAUGAUCCUUUUUCUCUUUAUGGAUCGAGUUUUAUGAAUAAGUUUUGUGAAUAUGAAUAACUUUUGACUAUUUUGCACGAUGUUAUUAACUUUGAGAAUGAAUAUGUACUAAGUGUGCUUCAUGCAGAUUUAUGAUUGUUAUAUAUUGUACUUUGGGAGUUAUAAAAUCUAUAGCUUUUAUUAAAAUAAAAUUGAACCGCGGAUGUUAGACACCCUUAACUCUUAAAUAUUGAAUUGUAGUUGUUAUAAUCAUUUGGGAUUCCUUAGGUUGAGUUUGAAGAUUUUAUCAUCUGCGAUUUGUGAGUAUUAUAAUUGUGUGGCUUUUAGACACAUGUAAUUUUACAUGUUUUGGGGGUUUUAUACAUAUAUGAUGUGUGAAGUGAUAUUAUUGGUUGACCCUUUACAUGUCAACGAUGUGGAUAUUAGUGAAGACAUAAUUGAUGGAUAGUGUGUAUCUUAAUGGAAAAUCAUUCAUGUAUUGAACAACCAAGAAUGGUAUGUAAAUGUAACUGGAUAAGCCAGAUUGACGAUUCAAAGGAAACGUGGAAAAUGGCAAUCAAAAUAAAAAAAAUUUGGAAUGUUUUUAGAACUCCAAGAUCCAAUAUUGAAAUGAUCUUCAUGGACCAGACGGUGCGAAUUUCUUUGUUUAGGCGCUAAGAUUAAUACAACGGUUCACAGUUAUGAGAUUCUCUUAUAAUUUGCAUUGCUGCAUAUUGAAAUGAUCUUCAUGGACCAGACGGUGCGAAUUUCGUUGUUUAGGCGCUAAGAUUAAUACAACGGUUCACAGUUAUGAGAUUCUCUUAUAAUUUGCAUUGCUGCAUGUGAAAUUAGGGUGACAAAAUUCUUGCUCAUGUUAAGAGUCAAGACAUUGAAAAAUGGAAAAACCAGUUGACGGAGAAUCAAACUUAUAUUGUGCAAAACUUUGAGGUUGAAAAUAGCACUAGGCAGUAUAGGGGAUCCAAUCACAAAUACAAGCUUAUAUUUGCCAGAGGAACUAUGGUUAAGGAAAAGGACCUACCAGAUAUCCCUUCCUAUUGUUUCUGUUUCACAGAAUUUGAGGCAUUCACCAGCCAAAAUGCUCAGAGUGAUAUCUUAAAACGAUAUGCUUUACUUCUAUAUUAUGAGAAUAACAAUGUUAGUUUCUUCAAUAGCUGUGCAUAUAGAAAUAAUAUGUUUCUUUUUGUCCCAGAUCUUAUUGGGGAGUUUGUUGAUGUAGUCCAGUGGCAAUUGGACAGUAAACGCAUAAAGGUGUCUCUCAUGUUGAGGAAUGAAUGAGGUAACACUGUUACAUGUACAUUGUGGGAAGGCUUUGCAUUGCAGCUGAAAGGUUUUUUGGACAAACAUGGAGAUGGUCCAGUCACCUUGGUGCUGGAGCAAGCAAAGAUUAAAGAGAACAAAGCUUAAACCAAAUAUCUAGUUACUGCUCAAAACUCAAUAUAUGGUUAUAAACUGUACAUUAAUGCUGAGCUUCUUGAGUUUGAAGAAUUUAUCAAAAGGAUUGAUUUUAGUGGGCUUAGUCAGAUUGAUCUAAGAAAACCAUACAAUUCUCUUAAUCCUCUCAAUUGUCAUCUGAAGACCAGUUUCUUUAUAAUGCUGAAAUCAAAAGCUUGGGAGAACUACGUGAUGUUAAAAAGUGACCAAUUGUAUCACCGUGGCAACCAUUGACAAAAUAUUUGUGGGAAAUGGGUGGAGCUAUGAAGGCUGCCCAAAAUGCUUUAAGAAAGUUGAGGCGCCCCCAUGCAGGUUGUGCAAAUGAUUGCUCAACUACUAUUACAAGAAAAGUUCCUUACCUUUCACCGCAGGAAACAUGUUGGUGAUUUACAUUUAAUUGGAUGGGUUAGUAUGCAACACUAAUAUAUCAUAUGUGAUUGCCUGUCAUUUGAUUGUUGUAUUAUUAAAACAUGUAUUAUCUCUUUAAGGGCGGAUAAUGUACCGUGUGGGCCAAAAUUUGCAGUUUGGUUGAGAAAGGUCAAUGGUUUGAUGUCGUUAAUGCUGAUAGGAUCAAGAGUAUAAAUGAUUUUGCUAACUUUUUUGCCUACAAGUUGAUUCCAGAGUACAAUAUUAGAGUCCAAGUGUAUGAUGGAACUGGUAAUGCCUGCUUUAAAUUACCAUAUAAGGAUGUCAAAAUAUUACUGAAAAUAUCGUGCAAAGAUAUUGUUUUACACAUUGAGGGUCCAUAUGCUCAGGAGUUACCAGCACUACUGUAUGAUCUAAAUGGAUUGGACCUAUUAUUUUUAGUAGACACAAGAAUUGAAGGAUCAGCUACAUCAAGUAGCAAUGUUAGCGAUCAUGAUGGGUACUCUGUGUCUGAAAUAUGUCAUGAGAAGGAGAUUUUGAGAAUGCUCCAGAGAGGGGAACACUAUUUCCAAUUUGAUGAGGGGCAAGCUAAACGUGCUCUCUGUCUAUCUGUCAAGGAAAACAAAUUGAAGGUAACCAAACAACAUCAUGCUCCUGGUUGUAUUGAUUGAGAUGGUAAAGAAACAAAGUAAAAUGCUUUUAUCAAAGUGUAUCUGAUGCUGCUGAUGUGGAAUUACUUUUGUCAACAAAUCAAAGUCUGCUGAAAUACAGAAGUAGUCUGAUUGGUGUAAUAUGUUUUAUUGAACAAACCUAUCUUUAUAUUAUGCAUAUGUAGUUUAACUUUUGUUCAGACUUGAUUUUUAAAAAUCUGAUAAGCUAACUUCUUCAUAGAA
Glycine soja is the source of this 3300-nucleotide RNA transcript. RefSeq lists it as uncharacterized. The transcript is spliced from 8 exons. Lineage: Eukaryota; Viridiplantae; Streptophyta; Magnoliopsida; Fabales; Fabaceae. The record is from RefSeq and is a predicted model, not a curated record.